This 468-nucleotide ribosomal RNA is filed under the name uncultured bacterium. RNAcentral describes it as "partial 16S ribosomal RNA". It matches the Rfam family "Bacterial small subunit ribosomal RNA", at positions 28 to 507 of the family's 1533-position model. The record is from RNAcentral.
GACGAACGCUGGCGGCGUGCUUAACACAUGCAAGUCGAACGGAAAGGCCCUGCUUUUGUGGGGUGCUCGAGUGGCGAACGGGUGAGUAACACGUGAGUAACCUGCCCUUGACUUUGGGAUAACUUCAGUAAACUGGGGCUAAUACCGGAUAGGAGCUCCUGCUGCAUGGUGGGGGUUGGAAAGUUUCGGCGGUUGGGGAUGGACUCGCGGCUUAUCAGCUUGUUGGUGGGGUAGUGGCUUACCAAGGCUUUGACGGGUAGCCGGCCUGAGAGGGUGACCGGCCACAUUGGGACUGAGAUACGGCCCAGACUCCUACGGGAGGAAGCAGUGGGGAAUAGUGCACAAUGGGCGGAAGCCUGAUGCAGCAACGCCGCGUGCGGGAUGACGGCCUUCGGGUUGUAAACCGCUUUCGCCUGUGACGAAGCGUGAGUGACGGUAAUGGGUAAAGAAGCACCGGCUAACUACGUG